RNAcentral lists this ribosomal RNA (427 nucleotides) under uncultured bacterium. RNAcentral's name for it is "bacterial SSU rRNA". It matches the Rfam family "Bacterial small subunit ribosomal RNA", at positions 354 to 796 of the family's 1533-position model. The record is from RNAcentral.
GUGGGGAAUUUUCCGCAAUGGGCGAAAGCCUGACGGAGCAACGCCGCGUGAGGGAUGAAGGCCUCUGGGCUGUAAACCUCUUUUAUCAAGGAAGAAGAUCUGACGGUACUUGAUGAAUAAGCCACGGCUAAUUCCGUGCCAGCAGCCGCGGUAAUACGGGAGUGGCAAGCGUUAUCCGGAAUUAUUGGGCGUAAAGCGUCCGCAGGCGGUCUUACAAGUCUGUCGUUAAAGCGUGGAGCUUAACUCCAUUUCAGCGAUGGAAACUGUAAGACUAGAGUGUGGUAGGGGCAGAGGGAAUUCCCGGUGUAGCGGUGAAAUGCGUAGAUAUCGGGAAGAACACCAGUGGCGAAGGCGCUCUGCUGGGCCAUAACUGACGCUCAUGGACGAAAGCCAGGGGAGCGAAAGGGAUUAGAAACCCCAGUAGUCC